This 2093-nucleotide long non-coding RNA is filed under the name Citrus x clementina. Its description in RNAcentral is "Citrus clementina (C. clementina) long non-coding RNA (CCLE_LNC006240)". Lineage: Eukaryota; Viridiplantae; Streptophyta; Magnoliopsida; Sapindales; Rutaceae. The record is from RNAcentral.
AAAAACAGCCCCCGAAGUUCGGGGUCCCAAGACCCCCCAGCGGAAAAAUGGCCAAAAAACGGUGGGCUAUAGCCUUGGUGGGGGGCGUGGGCGAAGUUCGUCCGUGGGACUCGGAAUGGCACCAGACUUGGCGGGCGGCCUCCGGGUACCAAAAAUAGGCCACGGGCACAGCCGCGCCCAAAAAACAGCCCCCGAAGUUCGGGGUCCCAAGACCCCCCAGCGGAAAAAUGGCCAAAAAACGGUGGGCUAUAGCCUUGGUGGGGGGCGUGGGCGAAGUUCGUCCGCGGGACUCGGAAUGGCACCGGACUUGGCGGGCGGCCUCCGUGUGCCAAAAAUAGGCCACGGGCACAGCCGCGCCCAAAAAACAGCCCCCGAAGUUCGGGGUCCCAAGUCCCCCCAGCGGAAAAAUGGCCAAAAAACGGGUGGGCUAUAGCUUUGGUGGGGGGCGUGGGCGAAGUUCGUCCGCGGGACUCGGAAUGGCACCAGACUUGGCGGGCGGCCCUCUGUGUGUCUAAAAUAGGCCACGGGCACAGCCGCGCCCAAAAAACAGCCCCCGAAGUUCGGGGUCCCAAGACCCCCCAGCGAAAAAAUGGCCAAAAAACGGGUGGGCUAUAGCCUUGGUGGGGGGCGUGGGCGAAGUUCGUCCGCGGAACUCGGAAUGGCACCAGACUUGGCAGGCGGCCUCCGUGUGCCAAAAAUAGGCCACGGGCACAGCCGCGCCCAAAAACAGGCCCCGAUGAUCGGGGUCCCAAGACCCCCCAGCGGAAAAAUGGCCAAAAAACGGGUGGGCUAUAGCCUUGGUGGGGGGCGUGGGCGAAGUUCGUCCGCGGGACUCGGAAUGGCACCAGACUUGGCGGGCGGCCUUCGUGUGCCAAAAAUAGGCCACGGGCACAGCCGCGCCCAAAAAACAACCCCCGAAGUUCGGGGUCCCAAGACCCCCCAGCGGAAAAAUGGCCAAAAAACGGUGGGCUAUGGCCUUGGUGGGGGGCGAGGGCGAAGUUCGUCCGCGGGACUCGGAAUGGCACCAGACUUGGCGGGCGGCCUCCGUGUGCCAAAAAUAGGCCACGGGCACAGCCGCGCCCAAAAAACAACCCCCGAAGUUCGGGGUCCCAAGACCCCCCAGCGGAAAAAUGGCCAAAAAACGGUGGGCUAUAGCCUUGGUGGGGGGCGUGGGCGAAGUUCGUCCGCGGGACUCGGAAUGGCAACGGACUUGGCGGGCGGCCUCCGUGUGCCAAAAAUAGGCCACGGGCACAGCCGCGCCCAAAAAACAGCCCCCGAAGUUCGGGGUCCCAAGUCCCCCCAGCGGAAAAAUGGCCAAAAAACGGGUGGGCUAUAGCCUUGGUGGGGGGCGUGGGCGAAGUUCGUCCGCGGGACUCGGAAUGGCACCAGACUUGGCGGGCGGCCUCCGUGUGCCAAAAAUAGGCCACGGGCACAGCCGCGCCCAAAAAACAGCCCCCGAAGUUCGGGGUCCCAAGACCCCCCAGCGAAAAAAUGGCCAAAAAAUGGGUGGGCUAUAGCCUUGGUGGGGGGCGUGGGCGAAGUUCGUCCGCGGAACUCGGAAUGGCACCAGACUUGGCAGGCGGCCUCCGUGUGCCAAAAAUAGGCCACGGGCACAGCCGCGCCCAAAAAACAGGCCCCGAAGAUCGGGGUCCCAAGACCCCCCAGCGGAAAAAUGGCCAAAAAACGGGUGGGCUAUAGCCUUGGUGGGGGGCGUGGGCGAAGUUCGUCCGCGGGACUCGGAAUGGCACCAGACUUGGCGGGCGGCCUCCGUGUGCCAAAAAUAGGCCACGGGCACAGCCGCGCCCAAAAAACAGCCCCCGAAGUUCGGGGUCCCAAGACCCCCCAGCGGAAAAAUGGCCAAAAAACGGUGGGCUAUGGCCUUGGUGGGGGGCGAGGGCGAAGUUCGUCCGCGGGACUCGGAAUGGCACCAGACUUGGCGGGCGGCCUCCGUGUGCCAAAAAUAGGCCACGGGCACAGCCGCGCCCAAAAAACAACCCCCGAAGUUCGGGGUCCCAAGACCCCCCAGCGGAAAAAUGGCCAAAAAACGGUGGGCUAUAGCCUUGUGGGGGUGCGUGGGCGAAAUUCGUCCGCGG